This 301-nucleotide ribosomal RNA is filed under the name uncultured bacterium. Its description in RNAcentral is "partial 16S ribosomal RNA". It matches the Rfam family "Bacterial small subunit ribosomal RNA", at positions 509 to 807 of the family's 1533-position model. The record is from RNAcentral.
CAGCCGCCGCGGUAAUACGUAGGUGGCAAGCGUUGUCCGGAAUUAUUGGGCGUAGAGGGCUCGCAGGCGGUUUCUUAAGUCUGAUGUGAAAGCCCCCGGCUCAACCGGGGAGGGUCAUUGGAAACUGGGAAACUUGAGUGCGGAAGAGGAGAGUGGAAUUCCACGUGUAGCGGUGAAAUGCGUAGAGAUGUGGAGGAACACCAGUGGCGAAGGCGACUCUCUGGUCUGUAACUGACGCUGAGGAGCGAAAGCGUGGGGAGCGAACAGGAUUAGAUACCCCCGUAGUCCCUGUCUCUUAUAC